UUCGAGAUUCGACUAGUGUGACGGUGUGACUAAUGACUCGUGUGAUUUCGUCCGUAAUUCGAGAAACUCGAAAGUAAGAAUUGACAUUGCUUUUAGCUCAGCAACUCUUAUUAGCCUCUUUCUAGAUGUAGUCAUUGUAGUGAGCCAUUCAGAUUAUAUAAUUUAUGUAAUGCCAAUAUCCUGACCAGACCACCUAAGAAACAUUUUUUUCUGUGGUAGCCUUCCUUGCUUUGCCUGUUUUCAAUUGGAUUCCAGUUGGGCAAAUCCAACAACUAUAAGAAAGAGAUACACCAUAUCCACGAAAAGUUAAUUCCAAACUUUGCCUCUUAUCAAAGCUGUGUCACGUGUGCCAAGAUUUGUUAAAAAGGAUUUUGAUGUGGAUUCCUCUGUUUAGUAGAAACAUCAACUUUUUGUUGUGAGGCUUGGUGUAUCAUCUAGGUAUGAAGCUACUAUGUGCUCACUUUUCUCCGAGUUCAGCAACCUUUACAUCAAUGAUCACAACUGGAUAUUCAAUUGGGUAUUAUUGCGUAAUAAUACUUUGAUUGUGUUACUAAUGUCGACUUGAAGCAGAACCGUCAACAAAAUUUGAACCAUCGGUCAUCUCGCUCUUAAAACGUCCUCGCCCAGAGCUCCAGUAUCUUGUGGUGUGCAGCUACAUCCAGCUGCGACGUUAGUGGAGAUGAUCUUUUCAGGCUCCCGAACAAACGAUUUCGUCGAUGGUGACGACAACAUUUCCCAGUGGAUGAUCGUUUUCUACAGUUUUGUUUUCCACUUUGAAAGGACAAACCGUUUGGGAAUGUCGACCGAGUUCCUGCAGUUCGUCCACGAUGGAAACCAUGCGAUACUGGACCACGUUGUCUUCUUCUUCAGGCUGCCCAAGUUGACCGGAACCAGUUGCGGCAGUGCUUGGUAGGACGCAGCAAUGAGCUGCAGAAACGUAAAAGAUUAAAAGGCAAGAUCCACAAAGAAAUGCUACACAGAAGUUCCCUGGUCGAUUUGUCAAAAGUUUCAUUCUUAUCACACGAAGAGAUAUAGUUCUAACCCAUUGUUGGUCGAUGGUGUGAAGCUGUAACCAAUUCCGCUGCACGGCCCACCCAGAAAGCCUACCUCAGAUAAAUGACAUGAAUGAAUAUUCAGCUUUAGAUGGGAACUCCAACAACUUCUGCGAUCCUCCUAAUCCUUUCCAUCUACCCGACUUUGACACCGGGACCACCUAUUAUUGCCGACUUCUAAUGGUACUUCCGGACUUCCGGUAAUCCGCCACAGCUCGACCGGCUUUCAGUAUUAAGCCCACAUCCGAGACUCUAUACAAUUGACGAAUCCAUCGUGAAACGUGCAUUAGAAAACCGGGUCCGUUUUGCGCCCAACACAGAUGAUUCUCGGAGCGUUGCGCCUAUAAACGAGAAUGACAGAGACCUUUUAAUUUCAAGGGAGAUGGAUUAUUUGAAAAUGUCCAUUAGAAAAAAACUAAGAAACCGCUGGGAGGAAAUACCGAUCCGGCGAACAGUGCUCCUCUUUCCCGUUGCCAGGCAACAAUUUCUUCCACGCUGCUCGUCUACUGAAAAGGAGAAUGCGUUGAAUAGUAAAUUGAUGUGCGGAUGAAGACGAUUUCGUGCUAGUCGGGGAUGCAAUAGAUUUAUCUAACCGAAGCCUUUCAAAAUGGCGACGACGUUACAAAUUGUGAUUGACGUGUCGCCUGUCGCCGUUCUCAACAUAUUUUAGGAUUUUUCGUUUUUUCCACGAGAUGGAGUGGAUUUGGAGGAAGAUCUGUAUUUACCUGUUUUAGUACUGGUGUGAUGUGUGACAGUUGGUUUUUCUUGACUAAUUUUUUUCUUGAAUUCAAGUUUGUACCAGUAAAAUUUAAUGAUAUAGACUGUUUUUAUUUGUGUUAA
Molecule: long non-coding RNA, 1892 nt
Filed under: Daphnia pulicaria
Lineage: Eukaryota; Metazoa; Arthropoda; Branchiopoda; Diplostraca; Daphniidae
Description: uncharacterized LOC124338370, transcript variant X7
Source: RNAcentral